Molecule: ribosomal RNA, 328 nt
Filed under: uncultured Smithella sp.
Lineage: Bacteria; Pseudomonadati; Thermodesulfobacteriota; Syntrophia; Syntrophales; Smithellaceae
Description: bacterial SSU rRNA
Rfam family: Bacterial small subunit ribosomal RNA
Source: RNAcentral
CAGCUCGUGUCGUGAGAUUGGUUGGGUUAAGUCCCGUAACGAGCGCAACCCUUGUCCUUAGUUACCAGCACGUUAAGGUGGGCACUCUAAGGAGACUGCCGGUGACAAACCGGAGGAAGGUGGGAUGACGUCAAGUCAUCAUGGCCCUUACGGCCUGGGCUACACACGUGCUACAAUGGGUGGUACAAAGAGCAGCCAACUCGCGAGAGCGCGCUAAUCUCAAAAAGCCAUCCUCAGUUCGGAUUGGAGUCUGCAACUCGACUCCAUGAAGUUGGAAUCGCUAGUAAUCGCGGAUCAGCAUGCCGCGGUCGAAUACGUUCCGGGCCUU